RNAcentral lists this ribosomal RNA (253 nucleotides) under uncultured bacterium. RNAcentral's name for it is "partial 16S ribosomal RNA". It matches the Rfam family "Bacterial small subunit ribosomal RNA", at positions 524 to 776 of the family's 1533-position model. The record is from RNAcentral.
UACGUAGGGAGCAAGCGUUGUCCGGAAUCAUUGGGCGUAAAGCGCGCGUAGGUGGCCUCAUAAGUCCGCUGUGAAAGUCCAGGGCUCAACCUUUGAAAGCCGGUGGAUACUGUGGGGCUAGAGUACGGAAGAGGCGAGUGGAAUUCCUGGUGUAGCGGUGGAAUGCGCAGAUAUCAGGAGGAACACCAAUAGCGAAGGCAGCUCGCUGGGACGUUACUGACACUGAGGCGCGAAAGCGUGGGGAGCGAACAGG